UUAGGAAUUUUGUGCAAUGGGGGAAACCCUGACACAGCCACGCCGCGUGCGGGAUGAAGGCCUUCGGGUCGUAAACCGCUUUUCUCGAGGAAGACACCCGACGGUACUCGAGGAAUAAGCAACGGCUAACUACGUGCCAGCAGCCGCGGUAAUACGUAGGUUGCGAGCGUUGUCCGGAUUUACUGGGCGUAAAGCGCGCGCAGGCGGAUCCGAAAGUCCACGGUGAAAGCUCCCGGCCCAACUGGGAGAGGCCCGUGGAAACUCCGGAUCUUGAAGGCAGGAGAGGCAAAUGGAAUUUCCGGUGUAGCGGUAAAAUGCGUAGAUACCGGAAGGAACACCAGUGGCGAAGGCGAUUUGCUGGCCUGUUCUUGACGCUCAGGCGCGAAAGCUAGGGGAGCGACC
RNAcentral lists this ribosomal RNA (402 nucleotides) under uncultured bacterium. RNAcentral's name for it is "bacterial SSU rRNA". It matches the Rfam family "Bacterial small subunit ribosomal RNA", at positions 355 to 773 of the family's 1533-position model. The record is from RNAcentral.